RNAcentral lists this non-coding RNA (23 nucleotides) under Rattus norvegicus (Norway rat). The record is from RNAcentral. Lineage: Eukaryota; Metazoa; Chordata; Mammalia; Rodentia; Muridae.
UGAAUUUGAUUAUAGCUUUCACU